This 76-nucleotide transfer RNA is filed under the name Thermosipho africanus TCF52B. RNAcentral describes it as "tRNA-Ala (TGC) (tRNA-Ala-TGC-1-1)". It matches the Rfam family "tRNA". From Rfam's summary of the family: Transfer RNA (tRNA) molecules are approximately 80 nucleotides in length. Lineage: Bacteria; Thermotogati; Thermotogota; Thermotogae; Thermotogales; Fervidobacteriaceae. The record is from RNAcentral.
GGGGAUGUAGCUCAGCUGGGAGAGCGCCUGCUUUGCAAGCAGGAAGUCAGGGGUUCGAAUCCCCUCAUCUCCACCA